UACAUAUAUAAAAUCUCUCUCUCUCUCUAUAUAUAUAUAUAUAUAGAUACACACACACACACACACACAUAUAUAUGUAUAUAUACAUACUAUAUUCAUAUCUAUAUAUGCAUUCUAUAUUCAUAUAUCUAUAUAUAUAUAUAUUUUUUUUUUUUGGGUGACUUAUUCUUUUAACAAUAAACAAACAAACAAUCAAUCACCACCAGUAUUAGUUUAACAACUCCUAGAGUUAAAAUACACAUUCAUGUAUGUAUUAAAGGAAAAAAUGUCUACUUUAUCCCUCAUCAAGACAAUUAAACUCUCAUCUCUCCAGAUGCGCUGAAUGGUUAUGUCUGUUUUGGUAUUUGUUAUAAAAUCACACCAACUCAGUCCUGUUACUGCAAGCUGUCCCUGAACUUGCCAGUAGUAUUUGUGGCUUUCCUUUAGCUUUGCUUGACCGUUGACAAAUUUUAUGUGUGUCACCUGAGAAAUGUCAUCAACAUCAGGGCAUUUUACCUCUGCAAGUCCAAAGGGAGGGUUCACAGUAGGGUCGUAGACUCUGCCAUCAGGGCUUGUGCCAAGGUGUGGCGCAUCAGGAUGUACAACAAACCCACACUGUAAAAAACUGACAUUCAUCAUACCAGAGUACUGAAAUAGCACUUCAGGCUCAAGAUCCAGUCCACGCUUCAUUGCAGAAGUCUGACGAACCCCUUUGAUGAUUCGGGCAGCUAGUGCCUGGCUGGUCGACUCUCCUCUGACAUGACAUACCUCACGGAAUCUACUGGAUGUAAUGCAUGGUGUACGCAUUUGGUUCCAUAGAGCAGACUGUGACUGGUCCCGUUUGUCUUUUCAAUUAUUGUGCUUAGUUCUUGAGUGACUGCCAAGCUUUCUAAGAACAACAUAUCAUGGAAAUUCGGGACAAAUUUAAAUCUUCCUUCAAAUGUAUACCCAUCCAGAGGAAGCGUAGGGAAAACAGGGGCUUCUGCAUGUUUGACAGCAUCCCUUGAUGACUCAGCAGGGCACUGAUAGGACAGCAAAGAACCUUUGGGUACUAGGCCAAACUUAGACUCCAUCAGAUUCAACUCUGACAAGCCAUGCAGAACCUUGCAGAUCAGUGGCUGAGGCCUGAUACUUAUUAAAGACUCCACAGAAGAGAGCAGCAAAUUAUUGGGAAGGGGACCUAAAAACAAAGGGGAAAAAAAGAGAAUAGAAAUAAUACUUUUAAAAGCCCUUUAGUUUGUAAAUCUUUUUGCUAGACAUAAAAUAAUGUAAAUGUAAUCACCUGUGUAGGCCCUGUAAAGAGUGGACUUAAUACCACUUCUGCUAGAGGUUUUUGGCUUCCUCACAAGUAAUCGAUCCACUGCUUCAGGAUGGAUUCCCUGUUAAAAAAAAAAUUGUUAUUACUGAGAGCAUGUUUAUAAACUUAAAAGGAUUUAU
Molecule: long non-coding RNA, 1416 nt
Organism: Cyprinus carpio (common carp)
Lineage: Eukaryota; Metazoa; Chordata; Actinopteri; Cypriniformes; Cyprinidae
Source: Ensembl